RNAcentral lists this ribosomal RNA (468 nucleotides) under uncultured bacterium. RNAcentral's name for it is "partial 16S ribosomal RNA". It matches the Rfam family "Bacterial small subunit ribosomal RNA", at positions 28 to 507 of the family's 1533-position model. The record is from RNAcentral.
GACGAACGCUGGCGGCGUGCUUAACACAUGCAAGUCGAACGGAAAGGCCCUGCUUUUGUGGGGUGCUCGAGUGGCGAACGGGUGAGUAACACGUGAGUAACCUGCCCUUGACUUUGGGAUAACUUCAGGAAACUGGGGCUAAUACCGGAUAGGAGCUCCUGCUGCAUGGUGGGGGUUGGAAAGUUUCGGCGGUUGGGGAUGGACUCGCGGCUUAUCAGCUUGUUGGUGGGGUAGUGGCUUACCAAGGCUUUGACGGGUAGCCGGCCUGAGAGGGUGACCGGCCACAUUGGGACUGAGAUACGGCCCAGACUCCUACGGGAGGCAGCAGUGGAGAAUAUUGCACAAUGGGCGGAGGCCUGAUGCAACAACGCCGCGUGCGGGAUGACGGCCUUCGGGUUGUAAACCGCUUUCGCCUGUGACGAAGCGUGAGUGACGGUAAUGGGUAAAGAAGCACCGGCUAACUACGUG